AGCCACCAGCGAGAUUCGAACUCGCGACCCUGGUUUACGAGACCAGUGCUCUAACCUCUGAGCUAUGGUGGC
This 72-nucleotide transfer RNA is filed under the name Araneus ventricosus. Its description in RNAcentral is "tRNA-Thr". Lineage: Eukaryota; Metazoa; Arthropoda; Arachnida; Araneae; Araneidae. The record is from RNAcentral.